AAAUACUAAACAAAAACCUACACACAAAUAUGAAUGCCUCACAACUUUGUGCUAUCUCGUUGUUUAAUUAUAUCAACUUAAAAAAACCUACGUGAGUUACGGCAUUCAGCAGCUGGGUUUUAGCUUUUCAGCUUUUCCUAACACGUAAUCGGUGACAUUAUGAGCUUUGUAGCAGCGGCAAAGUCGAAAGCGAAGGCAUUGCAUUUGCAAGAAUUAAGAGAGGCUGCAUGAAACGUGAAAGAAAGAAGAGAGACCAAAGCAACUCAUUGCAAGUUAGAUACAUUAAACUACACUACACAAUAGGAGACAUCCAAAAUUUAGAUAUUGUAUCUUUUCGGGUUUCCGUCGAUAAACCAGUAUGGACUGGCUCUGGCACGGGCAAGAAAACAUUCAACUAAUAUCGUUGAUUUAAUUAAUCGUUUGUUUGGUUGUUUUUUUGGUUUUGCUGCUGAUAAAAUGUUGUGAUUAAAAUAAAAAAAAAAAUUAAAAACAAAAAUAAAACAAGAAUACCAAAAUAUGAUAUACACAUUGGCUUUGGUGGUAAAAUUCUCGGCGCAUAAAAACAUAGAGGCUCGCCCUCACUUUUUCUAUGGACAAUUUUCAAAAUUUGCGCAUUUCAAUAUUUCGUUUUCGUGCUAUGAUUUAUGAGUAUUUAAAAUGCAUGUAGAGACAAAACCAACCACCACCAAGACCAAGCCAAGUGCAAUUCCUACUCCAAGAGAUAGACAUUCAUCUACAAUCAGUUUUUGUAACGCCGCCGAGCCGGUCGAGGAGGUAGACAAAUCGACUAAAUUUAUUUACAAAGUCUGGUUUUUAUUACACAAUUUUUCAAAUGCCAAUUAUUUAAGAAUCGAAUCGGUUUUGGUGUGCUUAUGUAGUAGCUUAGUGAUGGAUAAUCCAAAAGAUAUGUCUAGAAAACUUUCAGGGCUCAUUGCAAACGUCGUCGUCGUCUUUUAAGCUUUAAGAAAAAAGAACUGAACAGAAAAUUUUGCUGUGCGUAGGAGACAUGCUUACUCUACCUAGUAUAGUCAACGAGAAAACCUCCAAAAGUGAUUAAUCGUUAAAAUCGAUAUUGUGAACCUAUGUGUUGUAGAACGUACACCCGGAAGGUGCUGCUUUACGAGGAAAGAGGCUGGAACGAAGACGAGGGGUAAGGACCCUCAACUUUGCCGUGGAUUGAGUUCUUUUUUGUUGUUGUUUUACUCUCGCAGACGAAAAAUAUUUUAUUUUCGUCUACCACCGAAGUUGUGCCGGCGAAUAUGAUAAAAUAUAUCACGCACAAGUUGCGAACUCAGUCGAUUAACGAUAACCUCAACAAUUCUUGUAGUUUUACCAAAAAGAGUGACGUACACGAUUCCGGAACCGAAUCUGAUGGUGAUAUAGAUGCUGAGAGAGUUCACUCAGAGCCCGAAAUGGAAACAAGCAUGAGCUCUCGCCUAGACGCUACUUCCCCAACUGAUACCGCUUGCUCCUUAGAUUCCCCUGCCAUGAUGUGUCAGUCCCACCUGUUAUAUGAUCAACACAGCUCAGAAGAAGAGCUUGAGGUAAUAAAUGGACCGUCUUCUUUAGCAGCCGCAGAAGCGGCAGCCAGUAUUCUUGUAGUACGUGGGACUGCUUCUUCGCUCAUAUCCGAAAGAGGUUCAUCAUCGUUAGAGCCAGAUGAACUUUUUGGUGAGGCUGCAUCCACAUCGAAACGUUCCAGCUCAACGAUGAUAGAAAAUAGAAAACGAUCAUUGGCUCAUAGUUCAGACGAUGAGCUAAAAAAUAUGUUAGAACCGAUCUCAACACCAGUUAACUUCCGGACCUCGCCUCCAUUGGAAGCGUUAAAACCGAAUCGAAGCCAUAUGUUCCGUUCCGCAACUCCACUUAUCCUGACUGAGGCGAGUCGUGGCAUUGAGAACAUUAAAAUUUCUUGUGAUAGUACUAGUAGUGACCAAAAUGGAAGCGGUGAUGGAAGCACCAGCAGCAACAGUGGCAAUGGUGAGCAAUCUUCUGCCAGUACCAGUAAUCAAAGUAGCUGUAUUGCUGCAUUAAAAUCAAGCUGCAGCAGCCAUCAUAUCCACCAACCUCAGCCAAAAUAUCAAUUUCAUUACAACAGCAGUCGAAGCAGUCCAGCAUCAACAACAUCAGGACUAGAAUUGGAUGUGCGUUCAGUUAGUCCGCCGGCGAAACUUUUUCAUUGUGCAAUAUCCCCACGCCGGCGACCAAUGCGAGCCCAUCACGCCCCACAAAGACUACAGCGUCCUCAUAGACCAUGUUUAGAUUUUGAUAAAAUGCAACAGCAAAGUGACUCAACAACCAAUGAACCUCCAACGUGUAAGAGCGUAUUUCCAAUAGUAUGACCAUUUUGUAGGAAUUAUCGUAUAGUAGCCACUACUGUGAUAAAAUUACUGCAAACGACAUGAAUUGAAACUCCAGGACCGAUCGGUGUCCUCAUGGCGGCACAAUAGCGAACAUACAGGUGAAUUGUCUGUUUUCUGUUGGUGAUGAGUUUAAAAAAAAACACACGCACUUUUUGCUCCUUCACUUCCCAAUUUCAAAAAAAAAAUUAAACGAAAAAUAUGAAAAAUCGAAAAAGCAAAAUCAUGGGCUUGAAAACAAAACAUUUGGUCAUCUUAAACAAAACACCGUCAUUGAUUAAAGAAGCCACAUCCCCAAAAACGAACCCAUCAGCAGACCAUCAGUGUUUGCGGUCCUCGUCGAAGUUAUAUUGGAUUUUUACAAUUUAAUUUGUGGCUCGCGUUUCCAUGGAUGCGGAGAUUAAGUCGAAUUUGUCAGUUCUGUCUUUAAAUAACUAAUAUAUAAAUAAUAAUGUAGUUGAUUUGUUUCCCACGGAAACGACAGCGAUGAUGUAUUACAAAUAUUUAAACAAAAAACAAAAAUUUACUUUUAUGAAUAUGCAUUGACAUUAUUGUUAUAAAAAAAAGUAUACUUUAUAUUUUUGUUUCGUUUUCUUAUGUUUACUUUGUCCUAAUCCUCCUCCUCCUCCAUUUUUCAUAACCCAAAUUUAAAUUAAAAAACAAACAAACUAAACAAAAAAACACCGCCAAUUUAUCUUCGACGACAUUAUACAGUUACAGCAAAACAACGUUUCAAUAAUAUCGAAAACUAUAUUUAUAAAACAGGAAAUCAACAAAACAAAAACAAAAACACAAUUCUCAAAGAAUAAGAAAAAGUAAAAUUAAUGUAAUAAGCAAAUUCAUAUUCAAUUAUAUAUAUUUUAACAACCAAUUUAGUGUAAAAAACAAAACUCAACAACAAUAUUUAAGUUGCAAUAUGUAUGAAUGUAGGAAUUAUGUUUCUAACAAAAGAUGACACAAUCACCCAAGUCCACAUCCGUAUCCCCCGGAAGUGGACUACUGGAUGAGUUCGUUAAAACACACAAACUUAAGUAAUUAUAAGUUAUUCAGAAACAAAAAAAUAGAACUAUAUUCUAUCAAGCAGAAAUAAAAAAACAAACAAUAAAAUUUAAACAAAAUAAGUCUCUAAAAAAAAAAAACAAAACAAAAUAAUGAAAAUAAAAACGCAUUAACCAAAACCAAAAGUACUAAACAAUAUAAUAUCACUACAAUGAAUUAAUACAAAACAAAAAAUAAUAACAAAAAUAUUUUUUUCUAACUUUUUACUCAAUAUACAUACAAUACUAAUUAUAAAACAAAGAAAACCGAUAAUAGAAAUAUACAACAACAAAAUGGAAAAAUUCAUAUUUUAGUUAUGGAAUAAUCACUUGAAGCAAAACAAAUAAGGAAACCUAUCAUUUUUAUACGAAAAGAGAAAUGCAUAUAAGGAACAUAAAAUUAAAAUUUAAAACAAAACAAAAAAAUAUAUUAUAAUAUUUAAAAUUUAAUAAUUACAAGGAUCAUCGUAAACAUCAUCAUCAAAUUCAGACAAUUAAAAAACAAAGCGAAAAAAAAAACAAAGUAAAGUUAAGAAGAGGAAACAAAAGAUGUUUGUAGCAGACAGAGGCACAACCGUUGUGUGUACAAUAUUAUAAAAAUUUAUAAUAAUUAAAAUUAAAAAAUCGACAACUAGGCAUUUAAGUAGGUAUCGAGCAAACAAGAAAAACAUGACUGAAAUUAUUGUGUAGAUUUUAAGAUACAAAAACAAAACAACAAAAAUUCAUUUGGUUGAAAAACAUAAAACAGAAAAUACUUUUAGAUUUAUCCAAAAUGAUGAUCUGCAUUAUACAACUCACAUCAAAAACGGGCAUAUUUAUGCAAAGCAUCCAUUAUACCGUUAAUUUUUUGUGGUUUUUAAAAACAAGAUGAAAACAAAAAGAAAAAUGAAAAUUUUCAAAAAAAAAACGUUUUGUCGAUGAUAUUAAAAUUAAUGAUAAUGCGAUAUCAUUUCUGGAUGUAUAAUAAUUGUAUUUACUCUUUAAUUUUUAAGUAAUUUCCUCUAACCUUUUCUGUGAACAAUAAAUUAUGGUUUUGAAUAGAUUCUCAAAAUGUCUAUCAUUGUCCGUUGAUCGACUAUCAUUGUUUAUAACUAACGAACACACAACAGAAUGGAAAAUUAAUUAAAAUUAAUAAAAACAAAACAUUAAAUGUA
RNA transcript from Eupeodes corollae, 4551 nucleotides. RefSeq lists it as uncharacterized. NCBI's taxonomy places the organism in Eukaryota, Metazoa, Arthropoda, Insecta, Diptera, Syrphidae. The transcript is spliced from 6 exons. The record is from RefSeq and is a predicted model, not a curated record.